UUGAACAUACAAGUUACAACUCUUGGCUAUAAUCCACUACAAUGAUCAUCAUCAUCAUUACUACCAUCUGACAUCAGACUCAUCAAAGAGCCAGGUGCACAUCCUGCCCGGUUGCUGAGGAGGAGCAGCCUGCGCCUGGAAGAGCUGGAUCAAAAGCAUAAGGACCCUCAGUGAUAUUCAAUAUUUCUGCCACAUCACCAAGCUCAGGUGCCAUCACAGAUGCUCUCCGAUUCAACUACUGACGGGGGCUGGAUGCUAAGAAGACUAAGCCUCCCAUCUUCAUGACAGCUACCAUAACGCACUGGCAAUCUCAGUGUUGGUCCCAAAGUGCUCCGCUUCUUUGAGCCAUUCAUGAUGCAGCGGGACAACGAUGUGUGACACAAACCUCAAGACACCAGCGUUGCAUCAGCUCUCAUGCCAGAGUGAGCCACAAGGAGCAAAGGGACAGACCAGCAUCAGCUCCCAGCACCAAGAACAUUUUCAAAAUGUGACAUUCCUGGAUUUUUGAAUAUUGUACAAGUUUGUGGGUGAUUACAAAAUGCUGAACCCAUG
Molecule: long non-coding RNA, 552 nt
Organism: Hippoglossus stenolepis (Pacific halibut)
Lineage: Eukaryota; Metazoa; Chordata; Actinopteri; Pleuronectiformes; Pleuronectidae
Exons: 4
Source: RefSeq, a predicted model, not a curated record